UCAGCCUCAUCAUGCUGGUCCUUUGUUGCAAGCAGCACCUCGUCAUAGAAUUUGUUGCCUUCCUUACCAGCUAUAGGCAACGCUCCUACCACAUCCACAUCAAAGUCUCCUCUCCAUGUGCCUUCUUGAAGCACAUUCGCAUCCAACUGCGUGUCCUUGCACGUGUUGUCCCGUGAAGGACAGAUGCCAUCUCCAAGAUUCGCACUCUCACCCGAGGCCACCUCCUUAUUCUCCAAGUCAACAGUU
This 246-nucleotide long non-coding RNA is filed under the name Amborella trichopoda. Its description in RNAcentral is "long non-coding RNA (ATRI_LNC001374)". The record is from RNAcentral. Lineage: Eukaryota; Viridiplantae; Streptophyta; Magnoliopsida; Amborellales; Amborellaceae.